Molecule: ribosomal RNA, 253 nt
Filed under: uncultured bacterium
Lineage: Bacteria
Description: partial 16S ribosomal RNA
Rfam family: Bacterial small subunit ribosomal RNA
Source: RNAcentral
UACGAAGGGGGCUAGCGUUGUUCGGAAUUACUGGGCGUAAAGCGCACGUAGGCGGGUUGUUAAGUCAGGGGUGAAAGCCUGGAGCUCAACUCCAGAACUGCCUUUGAUACUGGCAACCUAGAGACUGGAAGAGGUUAGUGGAAUUCCCAGUGUAGAGGUGAAAUUCGUAGAUAUUGGGAAGAACACCAGUGGCGAAGGCGGCUAACUGGUCCAGCACUGACGCUGAGGUGCGAAAGCGUGGGGAGCAAACAGG